AUGUCGCAGCCGGCUGCCGCCGCCGUUGCGGCGCAGCCGCAGGGGCAGGCCGCGGCUGGGCGGCAGGGAGGCGGCCUGGGCCAGAGCCUCGCCGGCAUCGUGCGGAUGGCGGUGUUCUGGUACUUCGCGUCCAAGUUCUUCGGCCCCAAGCGCGCCCCCACGGAGCCGGGGUUGCUCAUGUCCAACCUCUUUCAGAAGGGAGAGCCAAUGGAUAUGUGGAUGUAUUUAUCGGAGAAUGAUAAAUUUAGCGACUUUGGUAAUGAGGAUGCACUCAUCUGGCAUGAAACAAACAUACCAUAUGCAGUCUGGACACCUACCAGUACCAGAACACACACACUGACAUACUAUCCAACGGAGGCUCUCAAGCACAAUGGCUCUUUGUAUGCUCAUGUUUAUUUUUCCCGUUCGGGUUACCCUGUGGACCCUACCGAUCCUGAAUAUGAGCAAAAAUCUGCAUUUGGAAGGACACAUCCUAUUGUGGCAUACUUGCGGAAAUCAAAAGCUGGUCACAAGAAGAGCUUGCUUGGAGAUUCGGAUGAGUCCGAGGAAAAGCUACCCCCUAAGGAGAACAAAGAGUCCGAAGACAAAGAGGAGGGCCCAGUUGAAUAUAUUUCUUAUUGGAAACCAAAUGUGACAAUAAAUCUUGUUGAUGACUUCACACGGUAUCCCCAAAACAACAUUCCUCCAAAUGUUGCUCCAUAUUUGAAUGUGGAUCCAACUACAAACAGCUACUAUCCAACUGUAUUCUUCAAUGAAUUUUGGCUGUUGAGGGACAAAUUGACAGCACUCAACAAGACUGUGAAGGAACUGACCUUGAACCUUGAAGUUAGUCCUAUCAGCAUGACCAAGUGGCAAUUAUUUCUACAGAUUGAGCAGUCUUUCCAAGUUCAUCGUAGUUACGGAAGUAUGCUUGAAGGCGAGGCUGAUGAGCUCAAGAGGGUUUUCCUUGAAGGAAAUCCAUAUCUACUGGGAUUGACCAUGAUUGUAUCUCUGUUCCACUCUCUGUUCGAUUUCCUGGCUUUCAAGAAUGAUAUCCAGUUCUGGAAUAAAAACAAGUCCAUGGAAGGUCUUUCAGCGAAAUCUGUUGUUCUGAACUUCAUUUGUCAGCUGAUUAUAUUUCUGUACCUGCUUGACAAUGAUACAUCAUGGAUGAUUCUUGCUAGCUCUGGAGUUGGUGUGUGCAUUGAAUUCUGGAAGAUAGGAAAAGCGAUGCAUGUUGAGAUUGACAGAAGUGGAAAGAUUCCCAUGUUGAGAUUCCGGGAUCGUGAGUCAUAUGCACAGAAUAAGACCAAGGAGUAUGAUGCGCUUGCGAUGAAGUAUCUUACAUAUGUCCUUCUAGUCCUUAUGGCUGGUUUUGCUAUCUAUUCACUCAAGUAUGAUAAACACAAGAGCUGGUACUCGUGGAUACUCUCUUCCCUCACAAGUUGUGUUUACAUGUUUGGUUUCAUUAUGAUGUGCCCACAAUUAUUUAUCAACUACAAGCUGAAGUCCGUUGCUCACAUGCCAUGGAGACAAAUGACCUACAAGUUCCUCAACACUAUAAUUGAUGAUCUGUUUGCAUUUGUGAUUAAGAUGCCGUGGUUGCAUCGUCUCUCGGUUUUCAGAGAUGAUGUUAUCUUCUUGAUAUACCUCUACCAGAGGUGGGUAUACCCAGUUGACAAGAAGCGUGUCAACGAGUUUGGCUUUGGAGGGGAAGACGAACCAGCAGCACCCCAAACUUUGGAAGGAGCAGCGGCUGCCCAACAGAUCGAGGCCAAGGCUGAGACGAGCACGGAGGACAAGAAGACAAAGUGA
RNAcentral lists this ribosomal RNA (1794 nucleotides) under Triticum aestivum (bread wheat). Its description in RNAcentral is "partial small subunit ribosomal RNA". The record is from RNAcentral. Lineage: Eukaryota; Viridiplantae; Streptophyta; Magnoliopsida; Poales; Poaceae.